AUCCCGGUAAUUUUAUCCUUUGUGAACCCCAUUUGAGCCUGUAUCCAUUGUUUGUUUAACCCCACAAAUGUAACCCACUUCCAAAACACUUCCUUACCCUAUUCAGAGUCAAGGUGAUAUUAUUAAGCUGUGUUAAAAUUCUAAGUUUGGGGUAAACCCCGUAAGUUUCAAAACCCAAGGUGAGUGCGGAAAAAAAAGAGGAUCAUCGAAAAAAAAAAGAGAAAACAAAAGAUACUCG
RNAcentral lists this long non-coding RNA (238 nucleotides) under Lathyrus oleraceus (garden pea). RNAcentral's name for it is "Pisum sativum (pea) long non-coding RNA (PSAT_LNC027668)". The record is from RNAcentral. Lineage: Eukaryota; Viridiplantae; Streptophyta; Magnoliopsida; Fabales; Fabaceae.